UUGAAUGAACUUGGCAUGAUUGUAGCUGGUCCUUUCGAGGGCAUGUGCACAUCUGUCAUCUUUAUCUUUCCACCUGUGCACCAAUUGUAGGUCUAAAAAUUUUUCCCCGAGACACUCGGGGGAGCAUGGGGCGUUGCUGUGUGUUACCACCAGCUUGCCCUGCAUUUUCUAGAUCUAUGUUUUCACAUACACCAUAAAAUGUAAUAGAAUGUUAUUAUUGGGCUUUUAUUGCCUAUAAACUAUAUA
RNAcentral lists this unclassified non-coding RNA (246 nucleotides) under uncultured Pholiota. Its description in RNAcentral is "sequence contains ITS1". Lineage: Eukaryota; Fungi; Basidiomycota; Agaricomycetes; Agaricales; Strophariaceae. The record is from RNAcentral.